CCGGAAAGCGGUGCUUUCUCAUGGCAGGAUUCCAAAGUGGUACCAGGUGUUGUCUCCACAGACAUCUUUAAUCUUCAGCAUCAGGCGUCCCUUCCAUUUUCUCUACGCAUACCUCCCACUCUGGAAUGAAUGAAAUCCCAGGUCCUUCGAGGGUGGUGCAAAUUCUGCCCCCUCUGGCCUCAGCUGGAUGGGGACACAGUGUCAAUCGGUUCUAGCUCCUGCUGAUUCUGCAGAGAAGGGAGGAUGAGCUUCCAGUCUCAGGGAGAGAACACUGGAAUCUUAGAGUUGACUGCAACUUGGAGACUACACACCUCCCCAUUCUUGACAUGCCAAGUUUAAGGAUUUCUCUUGUGAUGACCGUGAGAUACAGCAUAACACAUCUGCAGUAGGCAUAUGUUGUUUUCCCAUUGCUUCUCCCUUGGGUGAGUUUCCCCUUUCUCAUUUCAAGUGUUCUUAUUGAGCGCAUGACCGGGACUGACCCAUACAUAUACCCUGUUCUUCUGGUUAUAGUUAAUGGUCCAGGGAAGGCACAUGACCCAAACUGGAGCAUCCUUCCUUGUCUUGUGUGCUUUGGUUGCUGGUAUUCUUAUUUUCUUCACCUUCUGACGGUUUCUGUUUUAACCCAGAAUGAUGCUGAGUUCUAAUUUGCAUUGGAUAACUGGAGCAGAUUGUACAAUAUAUUUGAACUAUUAUUUAAAUUUUAAAAUGCUAUUGUAUUUUAUAAUUGGAAUGGAUAUAACAAUUUUAUUCAGACCACAAACACUUCUGCACUGAUUUUGCCAUGCUCUGUCACAAGGUGAAGUAUAAUACUCCUCCUCUUAUAUAUGAGUGGGCCUUAGUGACUAGUUAGACUAGUAGAAUGUGACAAAGGAUAAUUUCUAUAAAAUUUCCUCUUCAUGUAUCUAGUGCCUAGAUCAAGUAAUGGAACAUUACCUGCCCUCAGAAGUCUCCUUUGUGUCCCCGUCCACCAGCCACCCCCAAGGUUACCUCCGUUUUGACUUCUGAAACUAUUGCUUAAUGUUGCUUGCUUGUGAAUUGUAUAUAAACAGAAUCUUUUGUGUCUGGCUUCUGUUGCUCAGCUUCAUGUUUGUGAGAUUCAUUCAUAUAGUUAUGUGGGGUUGUACUUGUUCAUUCUCAUGGUGGUAUUCCAUUGUAUGAAUGUGCUAUAAUUUAUUAUCCAGUCUAUUGUUGAUAGACAUUGGGUAGUUUCCAGCGCUAGGACAUUAUGAAUUGUGCUGCUGUCAACACCCUUGUCCACGUCUUUUGGUAAACAUAUGUACGUAUUGCUGUUGGGUAUAUAUUAGGGGUGGAAAUGCAUGUGUUCAUCAUUCCUCAGUGUAGCCAAAAAGUUUUUCAGAGAGGCUAUACCAGUUCACACUCGCACAGGCUCUGUGUUAGAAUUCUUUUUUUUUUUUAAAUUAAUGAAUGUAUUACAUUUGUAGUUGUACAAUGAUCAUCCCAAGCCAACUUCACAGGAUUUCCAUCCCACAACCCCAGUGCAUCCCUCCCACCCCCAACUGUCUCCUUUGGAGACCAUAAGUUUUUCAGUGUCUGUGAGUCAGCAUCUGUUCUGCAAAGAGGUUCAGUCUGUCCUUUUUUCAGAUUCCACAUGUCAGUGAAAGCAUUUGAUGUUGGUGUCUCAUUGUAUGGCUGACUUCACUUAGCAUGAUAAUUUCCAGGUCCAUCCAUGUUGCUAAAAAUGCUGGCAUUUCAUUUUUUUUAAUGGCUGAGUAAUAUUCCAUUGUGUAUGUGUACCACAUCUUCUUGAUCCACUCCUCCUGUUGAUGGACAUUCAGGUCGUUUCCAUAUCUUGGCUAUUGCAAAUAGUGCUGACUUUCUCCCAUUCUGUGGGUUGUCUUUUUGUGUUGUUUAGGGUUUCCUUUGCUGUGCAGAAACUUUUAAGUUUAAUUAGGUCCCAUUUGCUUAUUUUUGUUUUAGUUGUCAAUACUCUGAGAGGUGGAUCUGAGUACAUGAACAUUGGAGUACAUGUGUCUUUGCAAGUCAUGGUUUUCUCUGGAUAGUUGCCUAGGAGUAGGAUUGCUGGAUCAAAUGGUAGUCCUAUUUUUAGUUUUCUGAGGAAUAUUCAUACUGUUUUCCACAGUGGUUGCACCAAUUUACAAUCCCACCAAUAGCAUAAUAGGG
This 2142-nucleotide long non-coding RNA is filed under the name Sus scrofa (pig). RNAcentral's name for it is "lncRNA (ENSSSCG00005034311.1)". Lineage: Eukaryota; Metazoa; Chordata; Mammalia; Artiodactyla; Suidae. The record is from RNAcentral.